GCCUGGGUGGCUCAGUUGGUUGAGCAUCCGACUUCAGCUCAGGUCAUGAUCUCACAGUCCGUGAGUUCCAGUCCCACAUCAGGCC
Molecule: transfer RNA, 85 nt
Organism: Felis catus (domestic cat)
Lineage: Eukaryota; Metazoa; Chordata; Mammalia; Carnivora; Felidae
Rfam family: tRNA
About the family: Transfer RNA (tRNA) molecules are approximately 80 nucleotides in length. Their secondary structure includes four short double-helical elements and three loops (D, anti-codon, and T loops).
Source: Rfam